CGAACGCUGGCGGCAUGCCUAACACAUGCAAGUCGAACGAGCACCUUCGGGUCUAGUGGCGCACGGGUGCGUAACGCGUGGGAAUCUGCCCUUGGGUUCGGAAUAACAGUUAGAAAUGACUGCUAAUACCGGAUGACGUCUUCGGACCAAAGAUUUAUCGCCCAGGGAUGAGCCCGCGUAGGAUUAGCUAGUUGGUGAGGUAAAGGCUCACCAAGGCGACGAUCCUUAGCUGGUCUGAGAGGAUGAUCAGCCACACUGGGACUGAGACACGGCCCAGACUCCUACGGGAGGCAGCAGUGGGGAAUAUUGGACAAUGGGCGAAAGCCUGAUCCAGCAAUGCCGCGUGAGUGAUGAAGGCCUUAGGGUUGUAAAGCUCUUUUGCCAGGGAUGAUAAUGACAGUACCUGGAGAAUAAGCUCCGGCUAACUCCGUGCCAGCAGCCGCGGUAAUACGGAGGGAGCUAGCGUUGUUCGGAAUUACUGGGCGUAAAGCGCGCGUAGGCGGCUUUGUAAGUUAGAGGUGAAAGCCCGGGGCUCAACCCCGGAACUGCCUUUAAAACUGCAUCGCUUGAAUCCGGGAGAGGUGAGUGGAAUCCCGAGUGUAGAGGUGAAAUUCGUAGAUAUUCGGAAGAACACCAGUGGCGAAGGCGGCUCACUGGACCGGUAUUGACGCUGA
Molecule: ribosomal RNA, 674 nt
Filed under: uncultured Sphingomonadaceae bacterium
Lineage: Bacteria; Pseudomonadati; Pseudomonadota; Alphaproteobacteria; Sphingomonadales; Sphingomonadaceae
Description: bacterial SSU rRNA
Rfam family: Bacterial small subunit ribosomal RNA
Source: RNAcentral